Molecule: ribosomal RNA, 1056 nt
Filed under: Triticum aestivum (bread wheat)
Lineage: Eukaryota; Viridiplantae; Streptophyta; Magnoliopsida; Poales; Poaceae
Description: partial small subunit ribosomal RNA
Source: RNAcentral
AUGAACUUUAUGUAUGAACUUGUAUUAAUUUGGUCUAUUCGGUGUUGUGUAAUGAAGAUGAGCCGGCAAUGGAUGUACGAUGACCGAUGCUCUCCCCACUUCGUUGAGGGCGUGCAUACUUUUCUGCUUGCGGCUGAGGCAAACAAGCGGGCGAAUGGUUUUAUGCCUUGUCCAUGUGCUCGCUGUAAGAAUGGUCACAAUUACUCUACGUCAAGAACCAUUCACGUCCACCUGUUUAAGUCCGGUUUCAUGCCUCAUUAUAAUGUUUGGAACAAGCACGGAGAAAGAGGGGUUAUGAUGGAAGACAAUGAAGAAGAAGAGGACGACGACAGCUAUCCUGGCCAUGGGUUCCCUGAAUACGAUGAUACAAUAAUGGGGGAAGAAGCUGAGCCGGUAAUGCGGGAAGAAGCUGAGCCGGCAACGCGGGAAGAAGCUGAAGAAGAGGCAUCAGAUGAGCCCAUUGAUGAUCUAGGUCGGGCCAUUGCCGAUGCAAAGAGAAACUGCGCAAGUGAUUUGGAGAAGAAGAAGUUGCAGCGCAUGUUAGAGGAUCACAAAAAAUUGUUGUACCUGAAUUGCGUAGGUGACAAGAAAAAGCUGGGCACCACACUGGAAUUGCUGCAAUGGAAGGCAGAGAAUGGUGUAUCUGACAAGGGAUUUGGAAAGUUGCUGGUAAUGAUAAAGGAUAUGCUUCCAAAGGACAACGAAUUGCCCGAGAGUAUGUACGAAGCAAAGAAGGCUGUCUGCCCUCUAGGGUUAGAGGUGCAGAAGAUACAUGCAUGCCCUAAUGAUUGCAUCCUCUACCGCGGUGAGUACGAGGAUUUGAACGCUUGCCCGGUAUGUGGUGCAUUGCACUAUAAGAUCAGCCGCGAUGACCCUGGUGAUGUCGAGGGCCGGCGCCCCAGGAAGAAGAUUCCUGCCAAGAUGAUGUGGUAUGCUCCUAUAAUACCACAGUUGAAACGUUUGUUCCAAAACAAAGAGCAUGCCAAGGCGAUGCGAUGGCACAGAGAAGACCGUAAGAAAGACGGAAAGUUGAGAGUACCCGCUGACGGGUCGUAG